AUACCGGCAGCUCAAGUGAUGGCCGCUUUUAUUGGGCCUAAAGCGUCCGUAGCCUGCCAGACAGGUCCGUCGGGAAAUCUGCUCGCUCAACGAGCAGGCGUCCGGCGGAAACCAGCUGGCUUGGGGCCGGAAGACCCAAGGGGUACGUCUGGGGUAGGAGUGAAAUCCUGUAAUCCUGGACGGACCACCAAUCGCGAAAGCACCUUGGGAGGACGGACCCGACGGUGAGGGACGAAAGCUAGGGUCACGAACCGGAUUAGAUACCCGGGUAGUCCUAGCUGUAAACGAUGCUCGCUAGGUGUGGCACAGGCUACGAGCCUGUGCUGUGCCACAGUGAAGACGUAAGCGAGCCGCCUGGGAAGUACGUCCGCAAGGAUGAA
Molecule: ribosomal RNA, 380 nt
Filed under: uncultured bacterium
Lineage: Bacteria
Also listed under: 1 other name
Description: bacterial SSU rRNA
Rfam family: Archaeal small subunit ribosomal RNA
Source: RNAcentral